Mus musculus (house mouse) is the source of this 1593-nucleotide long non-coding RNA. RefSeq annotates it as predicted gene, 53352. Lineage: Eukaryota; Metazoa; Chordata; Mammalia; Rodentia; Muridae. The transcript is spliced from 3 exons. The record is from RefSeq and is a predicted model, not a curated record.
UAUCUGUCUGCUCUACAGACACGUUUUCAUUUGUUCACUGUUAAAGUAUUUCCCUGGGUCGCCCACUGCUGACUCGGAACCUCCGACUGUUGAGACUGCAUCCAGUUUCUAGAACCUUUACUUUACCUUUAAGCACCGCUACCUCCACCAUCGUCUCUUCCUGAGAACGCCUAAUGCUCCUUUGGCUGUUCUGGUCCCCCAUCCUUUUUUGAACAGAUUCGAUGUGAUUCUGCCUCAGUCAUGAGAAGAUAGAUGAACAUUACCACCACCAUGAUGCUAUGUCCCAGGAGACAGCCUGCCCUUAUGAUUGAGGCGUGACUAUUCCAGUGUUGAGUCGAGAGGUGCUUAAGAAUCCUACUUCCUUGCUGAGGAGCCACUGAGAGUUGACGGCUGUGAUUGAUGGGGGAGGCCCAACGAGUUGUGGGUAGGACAGCCAUGGCCUGGUGGUCCGAGGUUCUGAAAGAAAGCAGGCUGAGCAAUCCAGUAAGCAGCACCACUCUAUGGCCUCCACAUCAGCUCCUGCCUCCAUGUUCCUGCCCUGUUUGAGCUCUUGCCUUGGCUUCCUUCAGUGGACAAUCUGUGGUUUGGAAUAUAUAUAAGCCGAAUAAAUGAUUUCCUUCUCAAGUUGCUUUUGAUCAUGAUGUUUCAUUACAGCAAUAGUAAUGCUAAGUAAAACAGGAGGUUAGGGGAUGGAUUUGACCAAAAUAAAUUGUGUGUAUGGAAUUCUCAAAUAAUAAAUAACAAUAAUUCUAAAGGUUAUGGGGAUUGGUCAAUUGGGAGAAUGUGUCCUAGCAUAAAUGAAUUGCUAAGUUCAGUUCCUAGCACUGCAUAAAAUGGGUGUGGUAGCAAAAGCUUGCAAUCCUAGAACUUAGGACAUAGAAACAGGAAGAUUCAAGAAUUCAAGGUCAUCUUCGUCUAUAUAGUGAGUUUGAGGUAGCCUGGGCUACCCGAGAUCCUUUCAGGAAGGAAAGAAGGAGUUGGUGGGGGAAGAAAGGAAGAAAUAUUGGUAAAAUACACAGAAGACAAGAAAUAAAUAAUCUCCAACACAUCCUACCCUUAGUCACUGUGUGGGUGGCUUGUCUGAGUCUAGGGACCCCAGUUAACACAAGCCACAUUAACAGGACCAAACCCCACAAGUAUCAUACACAUUCAUGGUGAUUUUCACCAGAGUGAAGUCCAAAGCAUGGCGCCUCUACACAUUUUAGACAAAGAGCAAUAUGUUUGAGAAGGAAUGACAAGACAGAUGGGUCUCUGACUGGGGGAGUAAACUCCAGGCUGUCACUAGGAGAUAUAUGGGGCCGUCAGCCUAGGGGGAGAUAAGGGCUACUUCAGGGUGUUUACACAGGUUCAGGGCAGCCCAGUCACCAGUCUGUGGUCAUCAAGGCUCUGUGUUAGCCUUGGUGUGUGAAGAAUGGCCCUUCCUAAAGAAUCAACUGUUGCUGCGUGUGGGAGAAUGCCAAAUGGAUCUAUAUGGUAUUUAAUUCUACCCUCUAUAUUCAUGUUCAAAAAAUUUACACACUUAUCCUCAAGGGAUUUCAGCCUGAGAUAGUCAGUACACCAGUGUGUGUGUGUAUGUGUGUGUGUGUGUGUGUG